GAAGCGAGGAAUGUGUUGGUUUUGUUAAUAAUUUUUUCGCGGAUUUUAUGACUUAUAAGGAUAUGGGUAUGGGUAGUUACCGAGCUUUAAAGGAGUUGAGUUUAAACAGAGAAGCUUCGAUAGCGGCGGCUAACCGAUCGAAAGAAAAAAAAUAUGACUUAAGAGAAACACUCGGAAAUUUAACUCGAGGUACAUUAUCAGUCGAAUUCGGUGGGCUAAAAAAACAAUUUUGAGUUUGUAUGCGUCGGGUUUUUUUUCGCGUUGUUUCGAGAUCGAAUUUCGACGAAAAUCGUGGAAAUGACGGCCAUCCAAAACGCGUAUACCCACAACCGAACUCCGCUCAG
Molecule: non-coding RNA, 344 nt
Organism: Cinara cedri
Lineage: Eukaryota; Metazoa; Arthropoda; Insecta; Hemiptera; Aphididae
Source: the annotation of a GenBank genome assembly